GAUGAACGCUGGCGGCGUGCUUAACACAUGCAAGUCGAACGGGAUCCAAGGGGUGCUUGCACUUUUUGGUGAGAGUGGCGAACGGGUGAGUAACACGUGAGUAACCUGUCCUUUUCUUUGGGAUAAGCAUUCGAAAGGGUGUUUAAUACCUUAUGUUCUGUCUGCCUCGCAUGGGGUGGGUGGGAAAGGCUUUGGCCGGAUUUGGGUGGGCUCGCGGUCUAUCAGCUUGUUGGUGGGGUGAUGGCUUACCAAGGCUUUGACGGGUAGCCGGCCUGAGAGGGUGGUCGGUCACAUUGGGACUGAGAUACGGACCAGACUCCUGCGGGAGGCAGCAGUGGGGGAUAUUGCACAAUGGGCGAAAGCCUGAUGCAGCGACGCCGCGUGGGGGAUGAAGGCCUUCGGGUUGUAAACUUCUUUUGCUCUGAACAAGGCAUGCCAGUGGGUGUGUUGAGUGUAGGGGUUGAUUAGCGCCGGCUAACUACGUG
RNAcentral lists this ribosomal RNA (485 nucleotides) under uncultured bacterium. Its description in RNAcentral is "partial 16S ribosomal RNA". It matches the Rfam family "Bacterial small subunit ribosomal RNA", at positions 28 to 507 of the family's 1533-position model. The record is from RNAcentral.